This 538-nucleotide small RNA is filed under the name Pongo abelii (Sumatran orangutan). Its description in RNAcentral is "retained intron". The record is from RNAcentral. Lineage: Eukaryota; Metazoa; Chordata; Mammalia; Primates; Hominidae.
GGCGGUUUCCAAGCUAAGGAACGGUUUGGGGCAGUGUCGUUCCCGGAAGUCGGCCGCCGUUACCCGCUCACCAGCUACGUGGCGCGUCUGGACACUGCCCAUCUCUAAGAUAAGAACCUGGAAAGGGGACUCUGUUGGCCAUUGGAAAUUGCAGUAUAAUGUCUCAGGUGACAUUUAGCGAUGUGGCUAUAGACUUCUCUCAUGAAGAGUGGGCAUGCCUAGAUUCUGCUCAGAGGGACUUAUAUAAGGAUGUGAUGGUCCAGAAUUAUGAGAACCUGGUCUCUGUAGGUAAGGAUAUUACCCCUUCCACUCCAAUAGGGGACACCUUUCUUUUGCCACCCUGAAUUGCUGGAGAUCCUCCUAAGUAAAUGGCUGAAUUUCUGUACCAUGCUCCCAAGGAAAUGUGCAGCUCUGUUGUGCCCUGCCUGAAGCUUAUCUUUCCAUUUCAAUGAACACCCUUCAUCCAUUCCUGUGGUCCCUCUUGUGAUGGCCUCUCAUAAUAGAGGACCACGGCUUAAACAAUUCUAUACUCUUCCUG